CGGGGCGUAGCGCAGUUUGGGAGCGCACUUGAAUGGGGUUCAAGUGGUCGCUGGUUCAAAUCCAGUCGCCCCGA
This 74-nucleotide transfer RNA is filed under the name Pseudomonadota bacterium. RNAcentral's name for it is "tRNA-Pro". It matches the Rfam family "tRNA". Rfam says of the family: Transfer RNA (tRNA) molecules are approximately 80 nucleotides in length. Their secondary structure includes four short double-helical elements and three loops (D, anti-codon, and T loops). Further hydrogen bonds mediate the characteristic L-shaped molecular structure. tRNAs have two regions of fundamental functional importance: the anti-codon, which is responsible for specific mRNA codon recognition, and the 3' end, to which the tRNAs corresponding amino acid is attached (by aminoacyl-tRNA synthetases). tRNAs cope with the degeneracy of the genetic code in two manners: having more than one tRNA (with a specific anti-codon) for a particular amino acid; and 'wobble' base-pairing, i.e. permitting non-standard base-pairing at the 3rd anti-codon position. Lineage: Bacteria; Pseudomonadati; Pseudomonadota. RNAcentral also lists the same sequence under 2 other names. The record is from RNAcentral.